RNAcentral lists this ribosomal RNA (246 nucleotides) under uncultured bacterium. Its description in RNAcentral is "partial 16S ribosomal RNA". It matches the Rfam family "Bacterial small subunit ribosomal RNA", at positions 99 to 339 of the family's 1533-position model. The record is from RNAcentral.
CGCACGGGUGAGUAACGCGUAGGUGACAUGCCUUUUAGUGGGGGACAACAUCGGGAAACCGGUGCUAAUACCGCAUAAGUUAGACGACAUUGAAAAAGUCUAAGAAAGGGGGCUUCGGCUCUCGCUGAAAGAUUGGCCUGCGUAGCAUUAGCUUGAUGGUGGGGUAAUGGCCUACCAUGGCUUCGAUGCUUAACUGGUCUGAGAGGAUGAUCAGUCACACUGGAACUGAGACACGGUCCAGACUCC